This is a long non-coding RNA of Pocillopora damicornis (cauliflower coral), 848 nucleotides long. RefSeq lists it as uncharacterized. Lineage: Eukaryota; Metazoa; Cnidaria; Anthozoa; Scleractinia; Pocilloporidae. The record is from RefSeq and is a predicted model, not a curated record.
GGAAACUGCUGUUACCACUUUUACAAGUUCCACUGUUACAGUUAACGGACCAGCAGUGGUCGUUAAGAUCGUUCUCACAUUGACUUCCAUUAAAUCCUGCAUGGAAAUGAAAUAGAAGAUUUAUUGUGAUCAGAUGAAUUAAGGUUCCAGUAAAUCCAUCCAUACAUUUGCAUCUGUAGCUGUUUACUUCAUCAAUACAAGUUCCUUUAAUGAAAAUAAAAACUUGACAAGGAUUGAAAAUGUCUGAUCACAAGCACAAUGGGCUCAUCUUGCCACAACUUGUAUUGGUUUCUGUUGCAGUAAGUGACCAGGAAUAUUGCUGCUCCCACUGAAUGACCUGCCACCUGGCCCAUGGGAAAUUACUUCAACUGCAUUUGGUCAGGUUUUCCCUAGCUUGGACUCAGACCUUUUCCCCCCUUGAGACAUAAUCACUUAAUAUUUAACAAGUACAUGAAAUGAUAAAAAAGAGAAAACUGACAUGCCAGCUAACGGAUAUAAACUCCACAUACUUCUAUGUACACUCCAGUGCUCACAAUGUUAAAAUCUAGACUUCACUUCACUUCACAUGCAAAUUUCCUACUCAGGGUGUAUUAAAGCCACAUGAAAACCAUUAGGAAAUUAUUUGAACAAUUUUAUCCCUUUCACAGCAUCUUUUCACAAUUCUUUUUAAUUUAGUUCUUUCAGCCUAUGCACAUAAAAAAAAAAGCACUGACUCACACUUGCAGUUGAGAAUCUGGAUAGUGAUUUGUGACUGAAAAGGCCCUGAAAUUUAAAAUCAGGCCUGCUGUAGAUACCCUGAGUGAAUACCAAUUUCAUAAUAAUAAGAUUAGGUGGAUGGGUAAAAUUCA